This 415-nucleotide ribosomal RNA is filed under the name Corynebacterium glutamicum. Its description in RNAcentral is "bacterial SSU rRNA". It matches the Rfam family "Bacterial small subunit ribosomal RNA", at positions 1129 to 1533 of the family's 1533-position model. Lineage: Bacteria; Bacillati; Actinomycetota; Actinomycetes; Mycobacteriales; Corynebacteriaceae. The record is from RNAcentral.
UGGUGGGUACUCAUGAGAGACUGCCGGGGUUAACUCGGAGGAAGGUGGGGAUGACGUCAAAUCAUCAUGCCCCUUAUGUCCAGGGCUUCACACAUGCUACAAUGGUCGGUACAGCGAGUUGCCACACCGUGAGGUGGAGCUAAUCUCUUAAAGCCGGCCUCAGUUCGGAUUGGGGUCUGCAACUCGACCCCAUGAAGUCGGAGUCGCUAGUAAUCGCAGAUCAGCAACGCUGCGGUGAAUACGUUCCCGGGCCUUGUACACACCGCCCGUCACGUCAUGAAAGUUGGUAACACCCGAAGCCAGUGGCCCAACCUUUUAGGGGGGAGCUGUCGAAGGUGGGAUCGGCGAUUGGGACGAAGUCGUAACAAGGUAGCCGUACCGGAAGGUGCGGCUGGAUCACCUCCUUUCUAAGGAG